ACUCCUACGGGAGGCAGCAGUGGGGAAUAUUGCACAAUGGGCGCAAGCCUGAUGCAGCCAUGCCGCGUGUAUGAAGAAGGCCUUCGGGUUGUAAAGUACUUUCAGCAGUGAGGAAGGUGGGUAUGUUAAUAGCAUAUUCAUUUGACGUUAGCUGCAGAAGAAGCACCGGCUAACUCCGUGCCAGCAGCCGCGGUAAUACGGAGGGUGCGAGCGUUAAUCGGAAUUACUGGGCGUAAAGCGCAUGCAGGUGGUUUGUUAAGUCAGAUGUGAAAGCCCGGGGCUCAACCUCGGAAUUGCAUUUGAAACUGGCAAACUAGAGUACUGUAGAGGGGGGUAGAAUUUCAGGUGUAAGCGGUGAAAUGCGUAGAGAUCUGAAGGAAUACCGGUGGCGAAGGCGGCCCCCUGGACAGAUACUGACACUCAGAUGCGAAAGCGUGGGGAGCAAACAGGAUUAGAUACCCUGGUAGGCUCU
This 472-nucleotide ribosomal RNA is filed under the name uncultured bacterium. Its description in RNAcentral is "bacterial SSU rRNA". It matches the Rfam family "Bacterial small subunit ribosomal RNA", at positions 335 to 798 of the family's 1533-position model. The record is from RNAcentral.